This 512-nucleotide ribosomal RNA is filed under the name uncultured bacterium. Its description in RNAcentral is "partial 16S ribosomal RNA". It matches the Rfam family "Bacterial small subunit ribosomal RNA", at positions 28 to 507 of the family's 1533-position model. The record is from RNAcentral.
GAUGAACGCUGGCGGCGUGCCUAAUACAUGCAAGUCGAACGAAACUUCUUUAUCAUCGAGUGCUUGCACUUACCGAUAAAGAGGUGAGUGGCGAACGGGUGAGUAACCUGUGGGCAACCUGUCACAACGAGGGGGAUAACACUUGGAAACAGGUGCUAAUACCGCAUAACCAUCGUUACUGCAUGGCAACUUUGUAAAAGGUGGCUAUACUACCGCUUUUGGAUGGGCUCGCGGCGCAUUAGCUAGUUGGUAGGGUAAAGGCUUACCAAGGCAAUGAUGCGUAGCCGAAUUGAGAGGUUGAUCGGCCACAUUGGGACUGAGACACGGCCCAAACUCCUACGGGAGGCAGCAGUAGGGAAUCUUCCGCAAUGGGCGAAAGCCUGAUGGAGCAACGCCGCGUGAGUGAAGAAGGUCUUCGGAUCGUAAAACCCUGUUGUUAGAGAAGAAAGUGCGUGAGAGUAACUGUUCACGUUUCGACGGUAUCUAACCAGAAAGCCACGGCUAACUACGUG